Molecule: long non-coding RNA, 1055 nt
Filed under: Lepisosteus oculatus (spotted gar)
Lineage: Eukaryota; Metazoa; Chordata; Actinopteri; Semionotiformes; Lepisosteidae
Description: lncRNA (ENSLOCG00000021435.1)
Source: RNAcentral
UUUUGUCCAACUGAGCAAUCUUGCUUUCAUAAAAUAAACCAAUGUUUUAAUGUAUAAUGAUUAAAAGUCUAAAGAGUAUAUAGCUUAAAUUCUUAAUUAAAUGAAGAGUGUCCCUCAGCAGUGAUCAUGAUUCCAAACCGAGUGUUUUCUGGUGAUAGCUCAAAAGCUGUAUAUGAAAGGUUAAACUUUAUUAGCUCCACCUGGCGGUUUUACAAGGUGAGUCUGGAUACUAUUAACAUAAUAACAUGCAGCACAGUAUGAUGCGAAGUGACGCAUUAUGAUGCGUUUCAUUGCAACACGCCCACCACAUUGUACGGCAGCAUACCCCGCUUGUUUUGAAUGGCUGCAUCUGUACAUACCUAAAAGUAGGACAAACAUUCAGUAUUCAGCAAGACGAUGUAUAGAACAAAGCUAAAGCUGCACUGGAGUGGUUUAAGAAUAAUUUGAUCAUUUAGGUUUUGAAAACAGUAUUAAGAGGUGUCACAGCAUUGCAGUGGUUAGCAUUGCUGCUUUGCAGUCUUGGGGCCCUGUGCCCAAUUUCUGGGGUGCUGCAGUGCUGUAUAUGUGUGGAUUUUAUAUGUUCUCUCUGUGUUUACAUGGGAUUCUUCUGGGUGCUCUGGUUUCCGACAGUUUACCUUAGUUUACUGUACCUUUGUUAAUUAAGUUGUGGGUAAAUGAUUAAGAGUAAAAAAUGUGUCAGUCAGGCCAGAAACACACCAUAUGAGAUCAGGAGAGAAACAAGAAUUAAAAGAUGGGCAGACCAUGAGAGAGAGAAGAAGGAGCUUGCGCCAGUUUCGCUGUGUGUGACAGUGAAAACUUACUCACAUUUUGUGAAGAUUCUGUGCCAGAAGAAUGUAAGAAUCCAGUCAAUAUCUUUUAACUGUUUCCUUAAAAGCAUUCUGUCCGUUUUUGCUUCACAGAGUUGGACUUAUUGCUGAAAUGUUGUAUCAGUCAGUAGUUACCUGAUAGACCUGACUGAUAUAACACCUUUACUUUUAAUGGAAAAGAAAAAAAAUAGAAUUGCACCCAUGAAAGAACUUUUAACAACUCCACAA